ACGAACGCUGGCGGCAUGCCUAACACAUGCAAGUCGAACGAAGGCUUCGGCCUUAGUGGCGCACGGGUGCGUAACGCGUGGGAAUCUGCCCUUAGGUUCGGAAUAACAGUUAGAAAUGACUGCUAAUACCGGAUGAUGACGUAAGUCCAAAGAUUUAUCGCCUGAGGAUGAGCCCGCGUAGGAUUAGCUAGUUGGUGUGGUAAAGGCGCACCAAGGCGACGAUCCUUAGCUGGUCUGAGAGGAUGAUCAGCCACACUGGGACUGAGACACGGCCCAGACUCCUACGGUAGGCAGCAGUGGGGAAUAUUGGACAAUGGGCGCAAGCCUGAUCCAGCAAUGCCGCGUGAGUGAUGAAGGCCUUAGGGUUGUAAAGCUCUUUUACCCGUGAUGAUAAUGACAGUAGCGGGAGAAUAAGCCCCGGCUAACUCCGUG
This 432-nucleotide ribosomal RNA is filed under the name uncultured bacterium. Its description in RNAcentral is "partial 16S ribosomal RNA". It matches the Rfam family "Bacterial small subunit ribosomal RNA", at positions 29 to 507 of the family's 1533-position model. The record is from RNAcentral.